Molecule: unclassified non-coding RNA, 1949 nt
Filed under: Hevea brasiliensis (rubber tree)
Lineage: Eukaryota; Viridiplantae; Streptophyta; Magnoliopsida; Malpighiales; Euphorbiaceae
Source: RNAcentral
AGUCUUCUUAUGAUACACUAAAAAAUUAUCAGUAUAAUGAUUGUUUCAAAGUAAAAACUGUACAGAUCUAAUAAUCAUCACAGGUAUUUCUUUGUGAUCUUUUCUGCUUGAACCUUGUUUGGUUAAAUACCGAUUAAAUUAUUCUAGGCUCUUCUUUAUACCCUUAAUUUCACUGAACAGUAACAUUCAUCUCUGUAUUUUAUCUGGGAAGAAGGAUUAGCUAAUAACGGAAUCCUUCUACAAACUAGUCUCUGAGAUUUUAGUGUUACCGUAAUGUAAAAGAAUUACGCGUGUAUGUGCGUGUAUUCUAGAGCUGAUGUUUAAUCCAUAUGAACCAGGUCAUGUUGUUGAUGCUUCAACCAACUCUGCUUUGUACUAUUCUGUGUAGUAAGCCAACAGUAGCUUCUACUUUCUGAAUAGUGAAGAGCUCUGUGCUGUUCCUAUUGACCUUAUUCAGAUUUCCACGACCUUUUUGGGCAAAGAGGUGAUACUUAUUGAUCCAAUCCAUUCCUAACUAACAGAAGGGGCUGCUCAAGGACAAUUUCCUUCUCAUGUCUCCAAAUUUCUGUGUUAAUCACUUGGUUAUAUUGUUGCCGGUCCAUUUGGGUAUUAAAUAUUGCCUCUUUAUUCAGCUUCUUUUCAUGGCAUUCUUGUUCCUUGGCAACGAGCUGGCCUGGCAAUUGCCGGAAAUAUCUUUGUUCCCAUCACAUGUAUUAUGUAAGAUAAUUUGGGUUUUCCUCUUUUUUUUCUGUUUUUAAAAUUUGAGAAAUGUUAAUAACAUUAAUUAGCGACAGAUUCUAAAUUUUGAUCCAUGAAAUCUGACAAAUUUCUUUGUAUUUCCUUUGAUUCUCAUCUAGAAAGGAUAAUCUUUUGUUUCUGGGUUGGCUACUUGGCGAUAAAUUAUCAAGAACACAGCUGCCACAGGAAUCACCUGCAGAUUCAGCAGAAAGUCUUAACUUCAUUUCAAAAGAACAUUUACUAAAAACUAUGUUUAAGAUACCACCCUUUUGCUACACAGCUUUGAAUUACCCAAAUCUGCACUCGAAGGGACCAGAGAUUCACUUCCCUCUGCCAUAAACCUACCCAGGUGCCUCCAUGGAAGAUCUAUAUGUAUAGUAAAUUUGGCAGGUUCAAAAUAAAGGGCUGGAUUUGUGUACAGGUGAGCUGAUCUGUUCCUCAUGUAAGCAUGGCAGGAAGAUGAGAAACAUGAUUAGCUGGUAGCCUCUGAGAUGCUUUGAAGUGAGGGUUGCCAUGUUCUUGAUCUAGCUGCAGCACUGGCAGAGUUGGUAGCUGUUGCUGUUCUUGGGCUGUUUGUUUCAUUUUUGGUGGCCUGAACACACGUUUAGUAUCAUUGCAAAGUUUAGUUAAUGUUCAUGCAUUAUAAUUGAAAUCAAUUGUACAGGUGCCUUCAUUAGCAUAAUAAAUAUAUAAUUUUAUGUUUUUCUUUUUCCUUUUUUUCUUAAAAAAAUAAUGUUUUAACAGUUUCAAUUUAACAUAUAUGCCUGAAGUUGCAAACAGAUGUUAAUCUGAAAAAUUAUCAUUAUCUACUUUCUUCAAAGUAAACGAAAAUUUAUGGAAAAUGAUAAUUCAGAAUAUGAUACUUGUAAAAUGGAUUCACCUGAUAAUCCUUCUCCACGUCAGAUCUUUUUACUGCAAUAUCCAGCCCUGAAUGCUGUAUCUCUCUCCUCUCUGGCUUCCCUACUGGCGCUGGCUGGUUUUUCUUCUGCUUUGCUUGUUUCUUAGCCAACAGCCCCUUCAUAACCUCUUGUGUAGUGAUGAGUUUAUAAACAUGACCAAGAACAAGAGUAUCCGUGGGCUUGAGAAGCUUGAUUCUUGUUAUCCGAAGAGAGUUGUUGCUGUUGUUGUUGGCGGUGGUUGUGGUGGUGGUGUUGGGGCAUUCUCCAUUUUUACGAGUCGGAUACAAGGUGGUAGAGAGGAGAAGAGCCACG